UGGGGAAUAUUGGACAAUGGGCGCAAGCCUGAUCCAGCCAUGCCGCGUGAGUGACGAAGGCCUUAGGGUUGUAAAGCUCUUUCGGCGGGGAAGAUAAUGACGGUACCCGCAGAAGAAGCCCCGGCUAACUCUGUGCCAGCAGCCGCGGUAAUACAGAGGGGGCAAGCGUUGUUCGGAAUCACUGGGCGUAAAGCGCACGUAGGUGGAUAGUUAAGUUCGGGGUGAAAUCCCAGGGCUCAACCCUGGAACUGCCUCGGAUACUGGCUAUCUCGAGUCCGGAAGAGGUGAGUGGAAUUCCUAGUGUAGAGGUGAAAUUCGUAGAUAUUAGGAAGAACACCGGUGGCGAAGGCGGCUCACUGGUCCGGUACUGACACUGAGGUGCGAAAGCGUGGGGAGCAAACAGGAUUAGAUACCCACGUAGUCCCUGAGCGGGCUGGCAAGGCGCAU
RNAcentral lists this ribosomal RNA (447 nucleotides) under uncultured bacterium. RNAcentral describes it as "bacterial SSU rRNA". It matches the Rfam family "Bacterial small subunit ribosomal RNA", at positions 355 to 825 of the family's 1533-position model. The record is from RNAcentral.